UACGGAGGGUGCAAGCGUUAUCCGGAUUCACUGGGUUUAAAGGGUGCGUAGGUGGGCAGGUAAGUCAGUGGUGAAAUCCCCGAGCUUAACUUGGGAACUGCCGUUGAUACUAUCUGUCUUGAAUAUUGUGGAGGUCAGCGGAAUAUGUCAUGUAGCGGUGAAAUGCUUAGAGAUGACAUAGAACACCAAUUGCGAAGGCAGCUGGCUACACAUAUAUUGACACUGAGGCUCGAAAGCGUGGGGAUCAAACAGG
Molecule: ribosomal RNA, 253 nt
Filed under: uncultured bacterium
Lineage: Bacteria
Description: partial 16S ribosomal RNA
Rfam family: Bacterial small subunit ribosomal RNA
Source: RNAcentral